UACAGGGGGUGCAAACGUUGCUCGGAAUUAUUGGGCGUAAAGCGCACGUAGGCGGUCUGUUAUGUCGGAUGUGAAAGCCCUUGGCUUAACUAAGGAAGUGCAUCCGAAACUGGCAGGCUAGAGUACUAAAGAGGGUCGCGGAAUUCCCGGUGUAGAGGUGAAAUUCGUAGAUAUCUGGAGGAACACCGGUGGCGAAGGCGGCAUUCUGGACCGACAUUGACGCUGAGGAGCGAAAGCCAGGGGAGCAAACGGG
Molecule: ribosomal RNA, 253 nt
Filed under: uncultured bacterium
Lineage: Bacteria
Description: partial 16S ribosomal RNA
Rfam family: Bacterial small subunit ribosomal RNA
Source: RNAcentral